CUUCCAUGUUAGGAUUAAGAUAAUAUAGAUGGACAAGCAUGGAAGCUGUGUAUAUUAGUCAAAUAUCUCAUAUUCGAUUUUGGUUAAUUAUUGGAUAUAAUGCAACAACUAAGUGCUUUAAUUAAAAAACACAACUAUAAUGUCACAUCAGUUAGGAUUUAAAAAAGGAAAACUAUGAAAAUGGCUUAAAAACUUUGAGUUUUAACGAUAAAGACAAAAUAAAGGGUAAAAUGAAUAGUACUAGGAUUGACUUUUUAGUGAAAAAAUGUGGUUUUUCAUUAAAGUGAACAG
RNAcentral lists this long non-coding RNA (291 nucleotides) under Malus domestica (apple). Its description in RNAcentral is "long non-coding RNA (MDOM_LNC011080)". Lineage: Eukaryota; Viridiplantae; Streptophyta; Magnoliopsida; Rosales; Rosaceae. The record is from RNAcentral.